RNAcentral lists this ribosomal RNA (172 nucleotides) under uncultured bacterium. RNAcentral's name for it is "partial 16S ribosomal RNA". It matches the Rfam family "Bacterial small subunit ribosomal RNA", at positions 335 to 524 of the family's 1533-position model. The record is from RNAcentral.
ACUCCUACGGGAGGCAGCAGUGAGGAAUUUUCCGCAAUGGGCGAAAGCCUGACGGAGCGACGCCGCGUGUGGGAAGAAGGCCUUCGGGUCGUAAACCACUGUCGAAGGGGACGAUAAUGACGGUACCCUUGGAGGAAGCCCCGGCUAACUACGUGCCAGCAGCCGCGGUAAU